This 1137-nucleotide long non-coding RNA is filed under the name Oryctolagus cuniculus (rabbit). RNAcentral describes it as "lncRNA (ENSOCUG00000036450.1)". The record is from RNAcentral. Lineage: Eukaryota; Metazoa; Chordata; Mammalia; Lagomorpha; Leporidae.
AUGAAUCCUCUCCUUCUCGGAGCUGCAGACGUGAAGCUCCUCCGUGUUCAGGCUGGGCUGUUUGCACUGACUGCAGCAGGAGGCGGGAAACAAGGCGAGGUCCUCGGGUUAAUUGAAGUCUCUUCUCGGACACUGCUGUUAAGGCAGAAACAGCAAGUUGUGGUCACCAGGCCUGGGGCCAUCAAGCUGCCGCAGCCAGCUCCUCCCUCGAGCCCCUGCGUGUGUGCACACCCGCGCAUGUCUGUGAGCACACACGCGCGCACACACGCACACUGGGCUCCGGUGCACCUCAGAGCUCUGCCUGCGCCGUGGUCUUUCAUGUCUGUGUCCUUGCCUUGGCUGUUUCUACGCCUCUCGUACCUGGUGGAACCCCGCUCAUGUGCCCGAAACAGUCUGGAUGUGAAGAAUAAACGAAGUUCAUUGUCUCUCCUUGGAGCCAUGUUGGGAAACGGGCUGCCUACUUCACAUGAAGACAACUCGUUCGCAGCUAUUGCGUUCCCGACAUCCAGUCCAGACCUGCUGUGCUGUGCGGCCCAAGCCAUUUCGGGACACAGGCUGACCACCCUUGCAGCCAGGAGAACAGGUUUUGAGGUCCCCAUGCUCAGAUCUGAGUGCCAACUUUAGCAUCUACUUUAUUGGCUUUGCUAAAGUCCCUUGAAGUUCUUCAGACCUCUAUUUUUUAAUCCUUAAAAUGGGGAGAAUUCUACACCAUUGUGUUGCUGUGUGGAUUAAAUGAAGUAAGGCAUGCCCAUUAGGAAAAUGAUGGGGGCGGUCAUUCGCGGCAGAGUGGGUUAAGUUGCCCCGUGGGACUCCAGCAUUGGACACCUGUGUUGGAGUGCCACUCCAAGUUUGGGCUGUCACUUUGUGUCCAGCUUCCUGUUAGUGCCCACCUGGGGAGGCAGCAGAGGAUGCUCAAGCACCUGCGUCCCUGUCACCCCUGUGGGAAACCCAGAUGGAGCUCCGGGCUCCCGGCUUCAGCCUGGACCAGCCCUGAGUGCUGAGAGUAUUUAGAGUUAACCAGCAUAUUCGAGAUCUCUCUCUCUCCACCCCCCUCUCUCUUUCUCUCUCUCUCUCUCCCUCUCUCUCUCUCUCUCUCUGCCUUUCAAAUAAAUAAAAAUAAAUAUACUCUUUAAAGCA